Molecule: transfer RNA, 85 nt
Filed under: Rhodospirillaceae bacterium
Lineage: Bacteria; Pseudomonadati; Pseudomonadota; Alphaproteobacteria; Rhodospirillales; Rhodospirillaceae
Also listed under: 1 other name
Description: tRNA-Leu
Rfam family: tRNA
About the family: Transfer RNA (tRNA) molecules are approximately 80 nucleotides in length. Their secondary structure includes four short double-helical elements and three loops (D, anti-codon, and T loops).
Source: RNAcentral
GGCCCCGUGGCGGAAUUGGUAGACGCAUGCGACUUAAAAUCGCAAGCUUUCGGGCGUACCGGUUCGAGUCCGGUCGGGGCUACCA